Molecule: ribosomal RNA, 253 nt
Filed under: uncultured bacterium
Lineage: Bacteria
Description: partial 16S ribosomal RNA
Rfam family: Bacterial small subunit ribosomal RNA
Source: RNAcentral
UACAGAGGGGGCAAGCGUUGUUCGGAAUUACUGGGCGUAAAGGGCGCGUAGGCGGCCUGUUAAGUCGAACGUGAAAUCCCCGGGCUCAACCCGGGAACUGCGUCCGAUACUGGCAGGCUUGAAUUCGGGAGAGGGAUGCGGAAUUCCAGGUGUAGCGGUGAAAUGCGUAGAUAUCAGGAGGAACACCGGUGGCGAAGGCGCACAUCUGGCCCGAUACUGACGCUGAAGCGCGAAAGCUAGGGGAGCAAACAGG